RNAcentral lists this ribosomal RNA (440 nucleotides) under uncultured bacterium. RNAcentral describes it as "partial 16S ribosomal RNA". It matches the Rfam family "Bacterial small subunit ribosomal RNA", at positions 338 to 795 of the family's 1533-position model. The record is from RNAcentral.
CCUACGGGAGGCUGCAGUAGGGAAUAUUGCUCAAUGGGGGAAACCCUGAAGCAGCAACGCCGCGUGGAGGAUGAAGGUUUUCGGAUUGUACACUCCUUUUGUUAGAGAAGAUAAUGACGGUAUCUAACGAAUAAGCACCGGCUAACUCCGUGCCAGCAGCCGCGGUAAUACGGAGGGUGCAAGCGUUACUCGGAAUCACUGGGCGUAAAGCGCGCGUAGGCGGGAUAGCAAGUCAGAUGUGAAAUCCUAUGGCUUAACCAUAGAACUGCAUUUGAAACUGUUAUUCUAGAGUAUGGGAGAGGUAGGUGGAAUGCUUGGUGUAGGGGUAAAAUCCGUAGAGAUCAAGAGGAAUACUCAUUGCGAAGGCGACCUGCUAGAACAUAACUGACGCUGAUGCGCGAAAGCGUGGGGAGCAAACAGGAUUAGAUACCCCAGUAGUC